GAUGAUUGCAGGCAGGAGCAUCUUGCUGUGCAACUUAUUUCUCAUUUUUAUGGUAGGUGCCUAUAGAUAAUAUUGGUCUUAUUGGCUAAUUGUUCAAUAUUUUUAUUUUGAAAGUAAUCUUCGUUUUGCUGCAUCCUCUUACUAAAAAGGGUGCAAAAAUUGUGAUAUUGUUUGUUCUUGAGGACUUGUAAGGAAGUUGUGUAUAAGGUUGAUCAAUAAAAUUUUUGAACUAUAUUAGUGAGAUGCAUGUUUAUGUUUGCAUGCAUGCUAGCUGAUCCAUUGAUUAAUAUGUAGCAUUGGGUGAACUACCUUUCGCAAUAGCUUAAUGAUGAAUAACUCCUGUGAUAAAAUUUAUUGUGAAAUUGUUAUCUGUUUUGAGUUUUUGAGUUCUGACCCAUGUGACAAGAUCCAUUUAAAAGCUUUAAUAGCUUUUUCCUGUUUAAACUAAAUUUAUCGCUUUUUAUUUUGAGAAGAUAAAGGAGGCUGAAAAUUCUCUUCUACUAAUGUAAUCAACAAGCAGGAAAUGGUAUGUAACUGUUGAAUUGAUAUUUUGUGGAAUGUUAAUCUCAUAAUGCUAAGCCGUUUUAUGUGACGCAUUUGGGCUGUGUACAAUUUUCGAAAAAUCCUCUCAUAUCAGUUAUAUUACUUUUGAGUUUGGAGGCAUUCGCACCUAAUUGUAUCCUCUUCUUUUAACCUCAUUCAUAUGUGAAUCUCUAAAGUAUUAUGGGCAGAUUCUAGGUUUAACAUAUGGGUUCUACUUUGAUUUGGAAUGAACUUUUAGGUUGCGGGGAUGAUUGUUAUUAUAGGCAAUGUAAGAGUGCUUCUCCAUUCUUUGGCAUGCAUUUAUGCACAGGGAUACAUGAAAUUGUGAUUUUACAGUUGCGUCUCCUUUUUAUAUUUAAAUUUCUGAUUAUUUGAAAUGGCAACUAGCAGGUUCUUUUAAAUUGAACUUUUCCUCGUCUUCUUGUUUUAUGGUGACAACAAACUGUUGAUAAAAUUGCUUCAAUUUGUCUAAACAGAAGUUAUUCAACUUGUAUAUGUGGCAGAUAAAUAAAUUGCUCAUGGAGUC
Molecule: unclassified non-coding RNA, 1069 nt
Filed under: Hevea brasiliensis (rubber tree)
Lineage: Eukaryota; Viridiplantae; Streptophyta; Magnoliopsida; Malpighiales; Euphorbiaceae
Source: RNAcentral